GAUGAACGCCGGCGGCGCGCCUAAUACAUGCAAGUCGAGCGAACGGACGAGAAGCUUGCUUCUCUGAUGUUAGCGGCGGACGGGUGAGUAACACGUGGAUAACCUACCUAUAAGACUGGGAUAACUUCGGGAAACCGGAGCUAAUACCGGAUAAUAUUUUGAACCGCAUGGUUCAAAAGUGAAAGACGGUCUUGCUGUCACUUAUAGAUGGAUCCGCGCUGCAUUAGCUAGUUGGUAAGGUAACGGCUUACCAAGGCAACGAUGCAUAGCCGACCUGAGAGGGUGAUCGGCCACACUGGAACUGAGACACGGUCCAGACUCCUACGGGAGGCAGCAGUAGGGAAUCUUCCGCAAUGGGCGAAAGCCUGACGGAGCAACGCCGCGUGAGUGAUGAAGGUCUUCGGAUCGUAAAACUCUGUUAUUAGGGAAGAACAUAUGUGUAAGUAACUGUGCACAUCUUGACGGUACCUAAUCAGAAAGCCACGGCUAACUACGUGCCAGCAGCCGCGGUAAUACGUAGGUGGCAAGCGUUAUCCGGAAUUAUUGGGCGUAAAGCGCGCGUAGGCGGUUUUUUAAGUCUGAUGUGAAAGCCCACGGCUCAACCGUGGAGGGUCAUUGGAAACUGGAAAACUUGAGUGCAGAAGAGGAAAGUGGAAUUCCAUGUGUAGCAGUGAAAUGCGCAGAGAUAUGGAGGAACACCAGUGGCGAAGGCGACUUUCUGGUCUGUAACUGACGCUGAUGUGCGAAAGCGUGGGGAUCAAACAGGAUUAGAUACCCUGGUAGUCCACGCCGUAAACGAUGAGUGCUAAGUGUUAGGGGGUUUCCGCCCCUUAGUGCUGCAGCUAACGCAUUAAGCACUCCGCCUGGGGAGUACGACCGCAAGGUUGAAACUCAAAGGAAUUGACGGGGACCCGCACAAGCGGUGGAGCAUGUGGUUUAAUUCGAAGCAACGCGAAGAACCUUACCAAAUCUUGACAUCCUUUGACAACUCUAGAGAUAGAGCUUUCCCCUUCGGGGGACAAAGUGACAGGUGGUGCAUGGUUGUCGUCAGCUCGUGUCGUGAGAUGUUGGGUUAAGUCCCGCAACGAGCGCAACCCUUAAGCUUAGUUGCCAUCAUUAAGUUGGGCACUCUAAGUUGACUGCCGGUGACAAACCGGAGGAAGGUGGGGAUGACGUCAAAUCAUCAUGCCCCUUAUGAUUUGGGCUACACACGUGCUACAAUGGACAAUACAAAGGGCAGCGAAACCGCGAGGUCAAGCAAAUCCCAUAAAGUUGUUCUCAGUUCGGAUUGUAGUCUGCAACUCGACUACAUGAAGCUGGAAUCGCUAGUAAUCGUAGAUCAGCAUGCUACGGUGAAUACGUUCCCGGGUCU
Molecule: ribosomal RNA, 1372 nt
Filed under: uncultured bacterium
Lineage: Bacteria
Description: bacterial SSU rRNA
Rfam family: Bacterial small subunit ribosomal RNA
Source: RNAcentral